UGGGGAAUUUUGGACAAUGGGGGAAACCCUGAUCCAGCCAUCCCGCGUGUGCGAUGAAGGCCUUCGGGUUGUAAAGCACUUUUGGCAGGAAAGAAACGUCAUGGGUUAAUACCCCGUGAAACUGACGGUACCUGCAGAAUAAGCACCGGCUAACUACGUGCCAGCAGUCGCGGUAAUACGUAGGGUGCAAGCGUUAAUCGGAAUUACUGGGCGUAAAGCGUGCGCAGGCGGUUCGGAAAGAAAGAUGUGAAAUCCCAGAGCUCAACUUUGGAACUGCAUUUUUAACUACCGGGCUUGAGUGUGUCAGAGGGAGGUGGAAUUCCGCGUGUAGCAGUGAGAUGCGUAGAUAUGCGGAGGAACACCGAUGGCGAAGGCAGCCUCCUGGGAUAACACUGACGCUCAUGCACGAAAGCGUGGGGAGCAAACAGG
Molecule: ribosomal RNA, 429 nt
Filed under: Acidobacteriota bacterium
Lineage: Bacteria; Pseudomonadati; Acidobacteriota
Description: Acidobacteria bacterium partial 16S ribosomal RNA
Rfam family: Bacterial small subunit ribosomal RNA
Source: RNAcentral